AGACACACAGGCUACGGAAGCUGAAGUAGUAAUCACUACAGAGGCGGCAAAAAUCUACACACCAGAAAAUUUGCUCCAAUUUUCAGCUGCAGAUUUAUUUAUUUACUUCAGAGAGAGACAAUCUCGAGCAAGACUCUGUGCUGAGUUCGGAGGCUGAAGGCGGGGCUCGAUCCCAGGACCCUGAGAUCCUGACCUGAGCAGAAAUCAAGAGUCAGCCAGUCAGCCACUUCACCGACUGAGCUGCCCAGAGGCAAGGCCAUCUGCUGAAAAUGCAAAGGAGAAAGGCCUAAAACUAGAGCAGCAGGAACAUGCCUGGAUGAAGACUUCAGGAUUCUUCCAGAACAAUGUGAUGAAGACAGAGCAACAGGGUGACCUACAAUGUUGGCAGCAAUUAUGGAAAUAAUGAAUUAUAAAAUCUUAGCGGGAGGAAGUAAAGACUCGCGAGGACCAGUGGGUCUGGAGAAGGAUGGUCAGCCCUUUGGAAGGCCUGAUGAAUUUGGAUUAGCCGCUACUCAAGAGUUCAGUUUGUCAGUUAAUGUUAGGAAAUAAAGCUUAAAAUGUGUGUUAGGGUCUCAUUGUAGUAAGUCUUAAAUGCUAAGAUAAUAACUCAAAGAUUCACUUCAUUUCUGUUAGCAACAUUUCUGGAAUGCCUGCUAUAUUCGGGACACUUUCAUCGGCUAACGAUGCAAAGAUCAAUACAACCCACUGCUGAGAGGUUCGCUAAGCCACUCCAUGGUACUGCUGCCUCUGGAUCCAUUUUGUGUGGCCAAGUGGCCUGCAGGGGCCUUGCAUGACACCAGCCCCUCCGGCAAGCUCCUGUGGUGAGCAGCCGCAGAGCCACCCGCAAAGAAGCAAAGAAAUAUAAGUUCUCGGUAUCACUUCCCCAACAGCCCUUGUGAUCAAAUCUCCCUUGCCUUCCAGGGCCUGUAUAUAUUACGUACCCCUUAGAUAAGAACCCUUGUGGGGCAACCCCCCCACCCCCCACCUCUUUUGGUUUGAAUUGACCGGAUCAGACCCCAGCCCAGGAACCCCAAAGCACUCCACCCAGUCCCUAAUAAAGGCAUGUGCCUCUCUAGGUCUGCAUUCUCCCUUGACCUCCCCAGGUGGCCCCUCCAGGCAUGCCCUGUUCUUCCUCCAGGACCUAUGAGUAAUACAUUUCUCUAUUACAGUUUACUUAUUGGCCAGCUUUUGAACUAAGGCUCACCAGGCUCAUUGUUCUGUACUAGGUGCUCCACUUAACAAAUGUUAAUGUAACAAAGCAGAACACCCACCCUCUGCCUUCAGGGAAUUUACAGCAUGCUGGGAAGGGAGGAGUACAGCCAGUUAAGGUGCUACAAUGCAGUGAGUCAAGUUCUUUGUGACAGAUUAUACAAACAGGUUGAGAGAAAAUGUAGACAUCUAAUACAAUUGGUAGGGGUAUCAAACUCUGGGACGGUUUCUUGAAGGAUGAAUUAAUAGCGAGGAAAAGAGUCAGGUAAGGACACUGCAGGCAGAAGUAUACUUUGAGGAACAGCAAGAGGUGAAGAAUAGACUAACUUUAAAGUGAUGUUAAUAAUAGUAAAGAGCUACUAUCGAUUUAGCAGUUACCAUGUGCUAGGUAGGAUAUGACAAAGUUAAUACCAUUACUAGCUCCAUCUUACAGGUCUGGAAGUGGAGGGGUUCUUAAGGAGGACGAGUGACUUACCAAGGACCACCAGUGAGUGAGCUUGUGGUCAGAGCUCGAAUCCACAAUGGCUGGUGUUAAUUCUUUCUUAUCCCCUCUAGGAGAGGGAAGGGGAGAAGAGGUAGCAGAUGAUGCUGGAGAGGCAUAUUUUGUAAGGUCUUGUUUCUUAAGUUAUGGGAGUUCUCACUGUCCCAAAGGCUACAGGGACAGUUAAGAAUUUUAAUCAAGAUGUGACAUGGUCGGAUUUUCAGUUUAGGAAGAAUCGCAUGAUAAAAAAAAAAAAAAAAGGCUUUUCCCGAACUGGAACUGGAGGCUGGAGUGAUCAGUUAAGGAGCUGAAGUCCUGCUGGAGAGCUAUAACAGGUACUAAGAGAAUGAAAUGAUAGGCCUGGGAAACCAACUAGAACUGAGUAUUAGAGCCCCGGCAGCUCAGAAAUUUACACUGAGGGACACCUGGGUGGCUCAGUGGGUUAAGUGUCUGCCUCCAGCUCAGGUCAUGAUCCCAGGGUGCUGGGAUCGAGUCCUGCACUGGGCUUCCUGCUUAGCGGGGAGUCUGCUUCUCCCUCUCCCCCUGCUUGUGCUCUCUCUCUCUCUCUCAAAUAAAUAAAUAAAACCUUUAAAAAAAUUUUUAAAAAUUUACAUUGUGAAGGUAAAAUGUGUAUUUCUUAGCACAGUUUGAUACAUAGUAAACAUAUAAUAUAUGAUAGCUCUACAGUUAUUCUCCAAAUUCUGAGAACACAGGAGACAUAUCUGAGCGGGAGGAAUUGAAGAGUUUACUUUUAAGUGUGCAUUCAUUCACUCAUCAAAUAUUCUGUGGAGCUUACCACAGUCACUGGGCAUAUAGUUGUGAUCAAAGCAAAGUCUGUUCUUACAGAACUUACAUUCUAAUGAAGAGGGGCAGAUACUAAACAAUAACAAGGUAAAUAUGUUAUAUCAGAUGGCAGGUGUCAUGGAGAAAAAUAAACCAGGAAAAGGGAAAUAGGAGGUAUCCCAGGUAGGAUGAGGUACUUUUUUUUACAUGAGUUUAUUUUUGUAUUGCUUAUUUAUUUUUUUAAUUUUUAAAAAUGUUCUAAAGAUUUAUUUAUUUGUUUGGGAGACAGAGAAAGAGAGAGCCGGCAGGGGGAAGAGGGGCAGAGGGAAAGAGAAACUUAAGCAGACUCACACAGAGCACAGAGCCCGACGUGGGGCUCAAUCUCACGACCCUAAGAUCACGACCUGAGCAGAAAUCAAGAGUUAGGCGCUUAACUGACUGUGCCACCUAGGCACCCUGGUAUUGAACUUGAAGUGACUCAGAACAGCUAAGGUGAUUCCAAGGAGGCAAGUGGACAUCCCGUACAGGUACCGAAAGGAGUAGUGAUUCAUCUCUGAGAUAAAUAAUCUAAAGGGAGCAUGGUAUCAUCACCAAAACCAAGGAAAAUCUAUUCACUGUUUGACCCAUAGCAAGAUAACAGACCAGAAUCAAAAUGUGUUCACUGGAUUGAGAAGUCACUGGAGAUCUUUCCCAGAACGCAGUGGGGAGCAGACAGUAAGAAAGGAAACAGGCACCUUUUCAAGAAAUUUGACUAUGCAGAGAAGAACAUGGGCUAGUCCCUAGAGAGCACUAUGGGGUCAGUGGUGAACGUGUUUUCCUCUUUUUAAAAGAUGAAACAGAUCAGUUGUGACAUAUUGAACAAUCUGAGGAAGAAAGGGAGUGAUUGUUAGAUCAAGGUUCUUGAGGUGCAGAGAGAUUAACCACGCCCAGGAGAGGAAUCUCUUAAAAGACUACAAAGGGAAAAUAUAAGUAUAGCAUAUGUAAAUGUAGUUUGAGUGAGUCUGAUUUUAAAGCUUGAUGAUCUCCAUUUUCUCUGGGAAGAGAAAUUAUCUCUUGUCGUGAGUGGGAAAAGGUUAAGAAGUUCGAGGAAACUGGAGGUCAUUAGAGGUUUAAAUGUAGGUGAAUGGGGAUCAGAGGUGCCUAAAAGUAAGUAGAAGAGUUUUUCCCAGGGGCACCUGGCUGGCUCAGUCGGAAGAGCAUGGGACUCUUGAUCUUGAGGUUGUGAGUUCAAGCCCCACACUGAGUGUAGAGGUUACUAAAAAAUAAAUAAAUAAAAAAACUUGAGAGUUUUUCUCAGAAAGUCCUGCUAAUGUUGAAGAUAAAAUGCUCCACAAAAGUAGAGAUUCUGUGCUUUAGAGAGUUGGCUUUCACAGUUCAGCCAGAGGCAGCAUGGAAUGAGAAGGGCCGAGACAAUAAAUAGGACAAUUACAGAAAGAAUUGGCAGGCAGGGCUAGAGGACUGGUCAAAAGAGUCAGAAGCCCACAACUUCGAGGGGGUAAGAAUAAGGCAGAGAAUAGAGAACAUAUAAGUACUUAACGUUCUGAAUGGUAAUCAAGAGUGUCAAGAGAAGAUUAGCUGGUCUCAAUUUGAACUAAUGUAUUAAAAUGUACCUUUACCAGGGUGCCUGGGUGGCUCAGUCAGUUAAGCAUCUGACUCUUGGUUUCGGCUCAGGUUGGGAUCUCAGGGUCAUGAGAUCAAACCCCUCACCCGCCCUGCCUUGGUGCUCAGUGUGGAGUCGCUUGAGAUUCUUUCCCCCUCCCUCCUCCUCAGGCCUCCUUCCCCACCCUCCCACCCCUGUUCAUGAGCUCUUUUGCUAAAAUAAACAAAAUCUUUUUUAAAAAUUAAAAAAAAAAUAAAUCUACUUUACCAGAAACCUUUUAAUAGCCAUUGCCUCUGGGAAAUGAAAAGGGGCCAAAGGUUAGACUGGGAGACUUUUUACUUUUUACAUUUUUUCAUACUGUUAGGAAAAGAUUUUACACCAUGAACAUAUGUCACAAUCAUUAAAAAGCUAGAGAGGGGUGCCUGGCUGGCUCAGUUGGUGGAGCACAUGACUCUUGAUCUCAUGAGUUCAAGCCCCAUGUUGGGUGUAGAGAUAACUUAAACAAAAAAAAAAUGAGAGUAUGUUUUAACAGGUUAUGUAGUUAUCUGGAGUAUGUAUGUAUGUAUGUAUGUAUUUAUUUUAAAGAUUUUAUUUAUUUAUUUGAGACAGAGAGAGAGAGAACACGAGCUGGGGUUAAGAGCAGAGGGAAAGGGAGGAGCAGAUCCCAAGACCCUGGGAUCAUGACCUGAGCUGUAGGUAGAUCCUUAACCAAAUGAGCUGCCCAGGUGCCCCUAGAGUACAUAUUUAUAAAGAAAAGCAUUGAUACAGUGAGAUUUUAUGGCUGAAAGAGGAAAAUUAGAAUCUAAGGAUCCUACCUCAUUUUCCACUCUAAAACUCUCAAAUUAGCCUGUAAACUUGGAUUUCCUGACACCCUCUCUCUUGUUUUCCUCCACUCUAAUUCACUUAGGGCUCAACGUGAUGCCAACAUAUUUCAGCAAGAGAAAACAGUUAUCAAGAGAAUGAAUUUUAGGGGCGCCUGGGUGGCUCAGUUGGUUAAACGUCUGCCUUUGGCUCCAGUCCUGAUCCCGGAGUCCUGGGAUUGAGCCCACAUCGGGCUCCACGCUCAGCGGGGAGCCUGCUUCUCCCUCUCCCUCUGCCUGCCACUCUGCCUACUUGUGCUCUCUCUCUCUGUCAAAUAAAUCACUAAAAUCUUUAAGAAAAAAAGAGAGAGAAUGAAAUUUACACAGCAUAGAUUUCUCUAACUCAGUUGUACAGGUUGGGAAAUGUCACUGAGGAUCAUGGAGGAGGACUCUAGGAGCUGGUAAAAGUUACAUAGUAAUGAUAACAGGGCAUUCUUAUUAAGGGAGCUAAAAGUCUAAGCUAUUUGGAAGGUUAAUCUGGACAAUUUCCAAAGUCAACUGUUUACCUUAUCUAUCCUUUUCCAGUUUUACAUGACCCUAGCUGAAUCAAAUAACAAUGUGUGAUUUUUAUCUAAAACAUGCAGAAAACAGGGGCGCCUGGCUGGCUCAGUCAGUAGAGCAUGUGACUCUUGAUCUUGGGGUCGUGAGUUCAAGCCCCACGCUGGGCGUAAACCUUACAUAAAAAACACUUAAUAAAUAAACAAACAAACAUAAAACAUGCAAAAUACAGAGGCGGAUAAAUGAAAGGGGGAUUCUGCCUUAGAGUUUCACUACCUAGGUCUAUAGUGAUUUAGCCAGCCGCCAAGUUGUUGUGUUGCAGGACAUACAAAAAAGUGUGCAAGUAUUUAGGACAAUGAGGAUUAUGCUUUCACAUCUGAAGGUAGCAUUUGUUAUUAGAGCACUCGUUGAGCAAGAUCUUGGAAAAUUAUCUUAAUAUUUAUUCCACACAGUUCUUAUGCUAUCACUGGAUUUCAAAAUGGGAGUUUUAUAUAUUCUUUGAAGAACCUAUUAACUGGAAUGCAGGACUAGGCUAAACAGAGAUGAGAAAAUCGAUGCUGUAAGCUGAGCAGGCCUUUACAGCAAUCAGCCAAAUUUUGUAAAGGAUUGCUUUUAUUAAAUGGUUUACAAGGCUUUUAUUUAGAUUUUCCUUUGAUUUACAAAUCUGGUUUAUAGAUCAAAGUUUUCCUUAACUUUGCCAAUUCAAAUUUCACUACUCUAUCUUGUUUACUUGCGACCCUAGUUUUUAGGGCAGGUGGUUUGCGGAGAGAGCUGAUACCACCGGUGGCUACCUGAGGGCUUUGCUUUGCUUUACGUAAGGUAUCUUUCUCGGUAUAUGCAGGAAUUCCCUUGCUACUGCCAACUGCCCCCUCUCCUCUUUGUUAUUUGUGGAGGCGUGCUGGGAAAGUCUUGAACUUCUCCACUCCUCCGAAGCACAGAUUUUACCGCUAUUUAUAUGUGGGACUGAAAUGCAUUAUUGACAUAUGCCAAAGGAUUUUUUAGCAUCGAAAACGUUUCAGCCCCUGUUAAUUGGCUUCUCAGGAAUUUCUUACUGUAUUUUUCUGGAUUUUUCCACCAAACCUAUUUUUCUUAUUUUGAUAGCAAAGGGUAAUUUGUUACAGAUACAGGUGUAGAGAACUUGGCUUUUUGUCUUAGCCCUCUUGAUAAAUGAUUCCUGAAUUGCUCCUUCAUUUAAUGUCCCACUAUGGGACUUUCACCAGGUUUGAAAAGCAUGUAUUCAACAAGAGGCGUGGCAACCAUUCUCCUUGAAUGAAUGGUGCCAUAAACACAAGAGUCUACAGACCAACUGAAUAAGCUAAUUCAGCAAUUGCCUAUGUAUGCUAACCAGCUGAGGGAUAUUUCAAUGGCAUUUUUUUAAAGGAUGAUAUAUUUUAUAAGAAUUAAAGAGCUUAAAAUAAUUACAAUGGAAUGCCAAGUCACUUAUUUUUUAGUAUGAAGAAAUACACACUUGGGCAGUGUUUGAAGUUAAUUGGUUCAAGCAGUAUUACUGGUAGUGGUAGUGGAUAAAAUCAUUGGCCUUUCAAUAUGUAAAUAAAAAAAAGAGAGAGAGAGAGGAAAGGAGCAAAAUUCUAUUUAGAAUUUAUCCUUAAAGAUGCAACAACCAUCAAGACCAAUUCUAUGAGUAAGGCUGGAAAACUGCCAUGGUAUUAAUAUUAAAUUGUUUUUAUACAUUAAAAGAAAUAUUGUCAAGAAAAACUAUUUUAAUAAAUUAUUUAAAUACAGAGAAUGGUACAUCAUUUAUAUGGUGUCAUUGAGCAAAUAUGUCCAAAUGCUUUCAAGGACACAGUGGUCUUAGUGGGAAAUGUGCUUGUUCUGGAUAGCAUACAGAGCUAUUCAGUGUUUUUCAAAACACAUGUUUAAAGAUACUGUUUUGUUUGUCAGUAUGCAUCCCUUGAACUGGUAUCACCUUAAAGGUAUUAUCAUAUUACAAAAUAUAAAUGGACCUUCUUUGAUAUAUCUCAUCUGGAACAUUGCCUAGAUGUAGUAAAACAAUUUUCUAUCAGAAAUACCUCAGGGGAAAGGCACCCGUGAAUGGAGAGGCACACAUCUUCUCUGAAUGCAGUUGUGUCUGUGCAAUUUUCUUCUCAUUGCCAAAUUAGCUGAGAAAAAAAAAGGGAAAUAUUAGGAGCAUUUUUCAGAAAAUGAACUGUUGUUUAAUUGGGAGAAUGUGAAGGGACAUUUUGCAUCCAAACUAUGUUGUGAUUAUUUGCUACCUGUUCAGAUGUGAUUGUGACAUAAAAAUUAAUGUGAUGCAAAAACACGAAAUAUAUUCCUAACAGCUCAUGUUUAUAGCAGGAUCUAUUAGUAGUAACCUCCUCCUUCCACAUGACUUCUUCCUAAAUGCUCUUGGACCUUUCAUCUUACGUAAUGAAUCAAUCACAGAUAUUUUAUAAGAACAUUGUCCAAGGUGUUCUGUAGUUCAGAAAAGUUUGAUUAGCAAUUGCUAUAAACUGUAAGAAGGGGUCAGCUGUUUUCUGAAUUGCUGAUUUGCACAUUCUCUCUUAUUUAUGUACAAGGACAAACUGGGGGACGUCAUUUGAAAUAACCUCAGUGAUCAAACUUCUGAUUAACUAAAAGGGAGAGACUGAAUUUUUAACCAGUUAUGCACCCUUUUCUGCUCCAAAUGGAGAAGUAUAUCACCAACUGAAUAAUAUAAUGUAUUUGGAAUAAA
This is a long non-coding RNA of Mirounga angustirostris (Northern elephant seal), 8123 nucleotides long. RefSeq lists it as uncharacterized. The record is from RefSeq and is a predicted model, not a curated record. Lineage: Eukaryota; Metazoa; Chordata; Mammalia; Carnivora; Phocidae. The transcript is spliced from 4 exons.